RNAcentral lists this long non-coding RNA (849 nucleotides) under Elaeis guineensis (African oil palm). RNAcentral describes it as "long non-coding RNA (EGUI_LNC000618)". Lineage: Eukaryota; Viridiplantae; Streptophyta; Magnoliopsida; Arecales; Arecaceae. The record is from RNAcentral.
CCUCCUCUUCUUCUUCUGCUAUCCUCCUCUUCUUCCUCUUAUCUUUUUUAUUUUCUUCUCUUGUUCGUAAGAUAGUGCCUGGAGCAACCGUCCCCCAAAAUGUUUGAAACACCAAAUUUUUCUUUAUAAAUAUUUUAAUGAAUAAAAAGGAAUAUCUUGUUCUGGAAGUCAUUGCUUCAUUUUAAAUUUGUAUCUAUGGACUGUGAAUUUUGUUCAGCUCGUAGAGAGUAACACAGAUAAAUGCUUAGAUCAGCGUGAGAAAAUGUUCAGUGCUUAGAUCUAGUAUAAAUAUACUUAGGAUAACUUUGAUGGAAGUGAACAUGUGUAGAGUAGUUUAGAACAACUUGAAUAUAACUUGAAUGUAAUUCGGUUGUUCAUAAAUUUGAGGCAUCAUAAUAAUUAUCUCAAUACUACUCUCCUACUCCUGAGUCUGAGAGAGUGCCUCAGGCAGAAAGAGUACUUGUUGAGGUAAUGCCUCUAGCCAUAUAUUGUCUAUCUUCUUAUUUUUCUUCUGAAGAGGUUGUGUGUGCCAGCAACGAGCUUGUGCCUAUAGUAUUUAGGACUCUUUAAUGGUAUUUCGAGGGUCUGAUUAGUUAUCCCUCAUGAGUGACAUUGUGUGUCUGUAGCGAUCUUGUGCCUACAAUGAUCUAGCACUUCUCGUCUUCACGCGAAAGGCAGUGUGUGCCAGCGGCGAGCUUAUGCCUAUGGCAUCUUGCACUCUUGACGAUAUUCUGAGGAUUUGAUUAGUUAUCCCUCAUGAGUGGCAUUGUGUGCUUGCGGCGAGCUUGUGCCUACGAUAUCUAGUACUUUUCAUCUUCGUACAAGAGGUAGUGCAUACCCGCGAUGAGC